This 352-nucleotide unclassified non-coding RNA is filed under the name soil metagenome. RNAcentral's name for it is "partial contains 5.8S ribosomal RNA, internal transcribed spacer 2, and large subunit ribosomal RNA". The stretch from base 1 to 120 matches the Rfam family "5.8S ribosomal RNA", at positions 35 to 154 of the family's 154-position model. The record is from RNAcentral.
GAUGAAGAACGCAGUGAAAUGCGAUAAGUAAUGUGAAUUGCAGAAUUCAGUGAAUCAUCGAAUCUUUGAACGCACAUUGCGCCCGCCAGUAUUCUGGCGGGCAUGCUUGUUCGAGCGUCAUUACAACCCUCAGGCCCCCGGGCCUGGCGUUGGGGAUCGGCGGAGCCCCCCGUGGGCACACGCCGUCCCCCAAAUACAGUGGCGGUCCCGCCGCAGCUUCCAUCGCGUAGUAGCUAACACCUCGCGACUGGAGAGCGGCGCGGCCACGCCGUAAAACACCCAACUCUUCUGAAGUUGACCUCGAAUCAGGUAGGAAUACCCGCUGAACUUAAGCAUAUCAAUAAGCGGAGGA